UGGGCAACCUGCCCCUAGCACUGGGAUAACCCCGGGGAAACCGGGGCUAAUACCGGAUAUGACCUCGGAGGGCAUCUUCUGAGGUGGAAAUGUUCCGGCGGCUAGGGAUGGGCCCGCGGCCUAUCAGCUUGUUGGUGAGAUAACGGCCCACCAAGGCGACGACGGGUAGCCGGCCUGAGAGAGCGACCGGCCACACUGGGACUGAGACACGGCCCAGACCUCCGUACGGGAGGCA
Molecule: ribosomal RNA, 235 nt
Filed under: uncultured bacterium
Lineage: Bacteria
Description: partial 16S ribosomal RNA
Rfam family: Bacterial small subunit ribosomal RNA
Source: RNAcentral